Molecule: ribosomal RNA, 619 nt
Filed under: Lactiplantibacillus pentosus
Lineage: Bacteria; Bacillati; Bacillota; Bacilli; Lactobacillales; Lactobacillaceae
Description: bacterial SSU rRNA
Rfam family: Bacterial small subunit ribosomal RNA
Source: RNAcentral
GCAGUCGAACGAACUCUGGUAUUGAUUGGUGCUUGCAUCAUGAUUUACAUUUGAGUGAGUGGCGAACUGGUGAGUAACACGUGGGAAACCUGCCCAGAAGCGGGGGAUAACACCUGGAAACAGAUGCUAAUACCGCAUAACAACUUGGACCGCAUGGUCCGAGUUUGAAAGAUGGCUUCGGCUAUCACUUUUGGAUGGUCCCGCGGCGUAUUAGCUAGAUGGUGGGGUAACGGCUCACCAUGGCAAUGAUACGUAGCCGACCUGAGAGGGUAAUCGGCCACAUUGGGACUGAGACACGGCCCAAACUCCUACGGGAGGCAGCAGUAGGGAAUCUUCCACAAUGGACGAAAGUCUGAUGGAGCAACGCCGCGUGAGUGAAGAAGGGUUUCGGCUCGUAAAACUCUGUUGUUAAAGAAGAACAUAUCUGAGAGUAACUGUUCAGGUAUUGACGGUAUUUAACCAGAAAGCCACGGCUAACUACGUGCCAGCAGCCGCGGUAAUACGUAGGUGGCAAGCGUUGUCCGGAUUUAUUGGGCGUAAAGCGAGCGCAGGCGGUUUUUUAAGUCUGAUGUGAAAGCCUUCGGCUCAACCGAAGAAGUGCAUCGGAAACUGGGAAACU